CUGAACGGGAUAUGACUUUAUUGUGCAUUUUGAGCCUAAAAAGUGAUUCUAGGAUUCAAAUAAAUUCGACUGUCAAAUUUUUUCGAAACACUUAGGCUUUUCAUCAAUCUUGGAAAUUCAGUUCCGACGAAACAUGGAAAAAGUUACAGGCAAUAUUGCAUUUUACAGAGUCGAGGUGUUCAGACUGUCGUGAAUAGAUCAGCGGAUCAACCAAUCACGUUAUUGUCUUUCGAUGUAUCACAUCGUUCUCCCCCACCACGCCCACGUCCGCCCCAUCCCCAACGCUCUAAGACGGGGAGUUAAACCGUUCUUUUCCGCCCGGCGUCUCGAGAAUUCUUGAUUGCCAAUUUCCACGACGCCAUUAGUACGAAAGGACGACGACGGUCACUGCAAACGUUUAAAGGAAAAUUGGGUAUAAUGUAAUAUAAUUAAUUAUUUACAAUAAUGGUAAUUCUCAAUAUAAUUAUUAAUCGUUAUUAUACCUUACAUUUAGAAUAAAAUUAAAUAGAUGUCUAUAAUACUUACUAGAUUCGGGGUAUUACACAGGCAACACUUUUAUU
This is a long non-coding RNA of Hylaeus anthracinus, 560 nucleotides long. RefSeq lists it as uncharacterized. NCBI's taxonomy places the organism in Eukaryota, Metazoa, Arthropoda, Insecta, Hymenoptera, Colletidae. The record is from RefSeq and is a predicted model, not a curated record. The transcript has 3 exons.